UUAAGCGACUAAGCGUACACGGUGGAUGCCCUGGCAGUCAGAGGCGAUGAAGGACGUGCUAAUCUGCGAUAAGCGUCGGUAAGGUGAUAUGAACCGUUAUAACCGGCGAUUUCCGAAUGGGGAAACCCAGUGUGAUUCGUCACACUAUCAUUAACUGAAUCCAUAGGUUAAUGAGGCGAACCGGGGGAACUGAAACAUCUAAGUACCCCGAGGAAAAGAAAUCAACCGAGAUUCCCCCAGUAGCGGCGAGCGAACGGG
This 258-nucleotide ribosomal RNA is filed under the name Escherichia coli 1-182-04_S3_C3. RNAcentral describes it as "partial 23S ribosomal RNA". It matches the Rfam family "Bacterial large subunit ribosomal RNA", at positions 1 to 261 of the family's 2925-position model. Lineage: Bacteria; Pseudomonadati; Pseudomonadota; Gammaproteobacteria; Enterobacterales; Enterobacteriaceae. The record is from RNAcentral.